RNAcentral lists this ribosomal RNA (450 nucleotides) under uncultured bacterium. RNAcentral describes it as "partial 16S ribosomal RNA". It matches the Rfam family "Bacterial small subunit ribosomal RNA", at positions 354 to 796 of the family's 1533-position model. The record is from RNAcentral.
GUGGGGAAUAUUGGACAAUGGGCGAAAGCCUGAUCCAGCCAUGCCGCGUGUGUGAAGAAGGUCUUCGGAUUGUAAAGCACUUUAAGUUGGGAGGAAGGGCAGUAAGUUAAUACCUUGCUGUUUUGACGUUACCGACAGAAUAAGCACCGGCUAACUUCGUGCCAGCAGCCGCGGUAAUACGAAGGGUGCAAGCGUUAAUCGGAAUUACUGGGCGUAAAGCGCGCGUAGGUGGUUUUGGAAGUUGGAGGUGAAAUCCCCGGGCUCAACCUGGGAACUGCCUCCAAAACUGCAUGACUAGAGUACGGUAGAGGGUAGUGGAAUUUCCUGUGUAGCGGUGAAAUGCGUAGAUAUAGGAAGGAACACCAGUGGCGAAGGCGACUACCUGGACUGAUACUGACACUGAGGUGCGAAAGCGUGGGGAGCAAACAGGAUUAGAUACCCGAGUAGUCC